RNAcentral lists this long non-coding RNA (571 nucleotides) under Populus tremula. Its description in RNAcentral is "long non-coding RNA (PTRE_LNC000858)". Lineage: Eukaryota; Viridiplantae; Streptophyta; Magnoliopsida; Malpighiales; Salicaceae. The record is from RNAcentral.
GCAAAACCCAUUAAAGAAAUGAAAUUUCCGAGUCAGGUCCGGAUAGAGAAAUCAGGUUUUAGACGUCGUAUGGCAGAGUUAUCCUCUUCAAUUUUAAUAAAAAAGAUUGGAUUUUAAGCUCUCAAGAGGCAAUUUCAAGUCAUCUCUCACCUCAUGCGAAUGCAAGGCAAACCUGGUGCCCUCAGUGAAUUUGGAGCUGCCAAAAAAGUACCUGUCUCUCUCUAUUUGCAAAACAUUUUUUUAUUUCAAAUGUUCUAGUUAAGAUUUUGUCGGGAAAUUCAGUUAUGCAAGUAUCCGUUAAUCAUUUGGUGAUAGCUUUGCCGGUUCUUUCAUGUAAUUCAUACUUUGAGAUCGACUCGCUAAUUUUCAGCGAUCCAUCGUAUUAAUUGUAUGUUUACCCAAGAUGGUUUUUUGGCCUGAUUAUCUUUCACAGGAUCAGCUAAGAAAACAUGAAAGCUCGAUGCAUGAUGAAGCCAGGGAGUCUACCUGUGGAGAAGAUCAUUUUUUUCUGUGUCUGCAAGUAGGACAAACUUGGUUUCCUUCUUUAGCACCUCUACCAUUGUCAAACUUG